GCACAAUGGGCGAAAGCCUGAUGCAGCCAUGCCGCGUGUAUGAAGAAGGCCUUCGGGUUGUAAAGUACUUUCAGUUGUGAGGAAGGGGGUAACGUUAAUAGCGUUAUCUCUUGACGUUAGCAACAGAAGAAGCACCGGCUAACUCCGUGCCAGCAGCCGCGGUAAUACGGAGGGUGCGAGCGUUAAUCGGAAUUACUGGGCGUAAAGCGCAUGCAGGUGGUUCAUUAAGUCAGAUGUGAAAGCCCGGGGCUCAACCUCGGAACUGCAUUUGAAACUGGUGAACUAGAGUGCUGUAGAGGGGGGUAGAAUUUCAGGUGUAGCGGUGAAAUGCGUAGAGAUCUGAAGGAAUACCAGUGGCGAAGCCGGCCCCUUGGACAGACACUGACCCUCAGAUGCGAAAGCCUGGGGACCAACAGGAUUAGAUACCCUGGUAGUCCACGCCGUAAACGAUGUCUACUUGGAGGUUGUGGCCUUGAGCCGUGGCUUUCGGAGCUAACGCGUUAAGUAGACCGCCUGGGGAGUACGGUCGCAAGAUUAAAACUCAAAUGAAUUGACGGGGGCC
RNAcentral lists this ribosomal RNA (562 nucleotides) under uncultured bacterium. RNAcentral describes it as "bacterial SSU rRNA". It matches the Rfam family "Bacterial small subunit ribosomal RNA", at positions 366 to 921 of the family's 1533-position model. The record is from RNAcentral.